GACGAACGCUGGCGGCGUGCUUAACACAUGCAAGUCGAACGGAAAGGCCCUGCUUUUGUGGGGUGCUCGAGUGGCGAACGGGUGAGUAACACGUGAGUAACCUGCCCUUGACUUUGGGAUAACUUCAGGAAACUGGGGCUAAUACCGGAUAGGAGCUCCUGCUGCAUGGUGGGGGUUGGAAAGUUUCGGCGGUUGGGGAUGGACUCGCGGCUUAUCAGCUUGUUGGUGGGGUAGUGGCUUACCAAGGCUUUGACGGGUAGCCGGCCUGAGAGGGUGACCGGCCACAUUGGACUUGGGAACCGGCCAGACUCCUACGGGAGGCAGCAGUGGGGAAUAUUGCACAAUGGGCGGAAGCCUGAUGCAGCAACGCCGCGUGCGGGAUGACGGCCUUCGGGUUGUAAACCGCUUACGCCUGUGACGAAGCGUGAGUGACGGUAAUGGGUAAAGAAGCACCGGCUAACUACGUG
Molecule: ribosomal RNA, 467 nt
Filed under: uncultured bacterium
Lineage: Bacteria
Description: partial 16S ribosomal RNA
Rfam family: Bacterial small subunit ribosomal RNA
Source: RNAcentral